This 978-nucleotide ribosomal RNA is filed under the name Triticum aestivum (bread wheat). RNAcentral describes it as "partial small subunit ribosomal RNA". Lineage: Eukaryota; Viridiplantae; Streptophyta; Magnoliopsida; Poales; Poaceae. The record is from RNAcentral.
AUGGCGCAACAUCAGUUAUUUUCCUGCCGCGCACGGGGUAACGGAACUCAAACAUGGGCACGACAAGGGUCUUCAAAGGUAAACCCAGUAUGGGAUAUUGUGUGGAAGCUAAAAAUCCCGAGCAAGAUCAAGAUCUUCAUAUGGAAGGCGCUGCAUGGUACUGUUGCUUGUUAUGGGAUGCUCGCGUCAAGGCAUAUUCCAGUUUCUGCACAAUGUCCGAUUUGCUCUUCUGGUUCCGAGGACAUCCGCCAUCUCCUAUUCACUUGCAGGCGUGCUCGUCUUGUGUGGAAGGCACUUGGGCUGGAUGAGGUGAUCAACCAAGCGCUGCCAUCUGACCGAUCGGGAUCUGUAAUUUUAGAAGAGUUGCUGUGUAGUAAGACCAAGAAAUCACCGGUCCUUGGUGGUCUAGGGCUACAGGAAUCAAUCGCUGUUGCAUGUUGGUACAUCUGGUACCAACGAAGAGAGAUUGCUAAAGGCGAACAGGUGGCCGCCCCAACUCGAACCACCUUUGCAAUCCAAGCUCUAACAUCAAAUUUUGGUGUCGUCUUGAUCUCUAGUGCACCACCUGAAAUCAUGUGGACAAAGCCUAGCCCGGGGUCCUAUAAACUUAAUUUGGAUGCGGCUUUUUAUGAGGAUGGGACAGGAGCUAUGGGAGUAGUCCUCCGCAACUGUUCUGGGGAGGCAAUCGCUGGCGCUGCUGAGCCAAUUACUCAUGCUUUGGAUGCAAUGGCAGCGGAGUCUCUAGCCAUGCUUAAAGGAAUGGAUCUACUGGAACGACUAGGAUGCUCGUGGGUUACCUUGGAGUAUGACUGUUUGGAGUUGAUUAAUGCAUGCAAUGGUGACACUGAAAUUUUUGGCCCCUCCUCGGCUACCUUGGCAGAAAAUUUUGCUAGAGCAAAGCACGCUGCUGGUAUCUCUUUCCAACACUGUAAGCGGGAUGCAAAUUUGGUCGCACAUCACUUAGCAAAACACUUAUGA